GGCCCCAUCGUCUAUCGGUUAGGACACUGCCUUUUCAAGGCAGGAAGCGCGGUUCGAUUCCGCGUGGGGUCACCA
RNAcentral lists this transfer RNA (75 nucleotides) under Candidatus Zambryskibacteria bacterium CG10_big_fil_rev_8_21_14_0_10_34_34. RNAcentral's name for it is "tRNA-Glu". It matches the Rfam family "tRNA". From Rfam's summary of the family: Transfer RNA (tRNA) molecules are approximately 80 nucleotides in length. Their secondary structure includes four short double-helical elements and three loops (D, anti-codon, and T loops). Lineage: Bacteria; Candidatus Zambryskiibacteriota. The record is from RNAcentral.